This 1307-nucleotide ribosomal RNA is filed under the name Escherichia coli. Its description in RNAcentral is "partial 23S ribosomal RNA". It matches the Rfam family "Bacterial large subunit ribosomal RNA", at positions 47 to 1393 of the family's 2925-position model. The record is from RNAcentral. Lineage: Bacteria; Pseudomonadati; Pseudomonadota; Gammaproteobacteria; Enterobacterales; Enterobacteriaceae.
CGAUGAAGGACGUGCUAAUCUGCGAUAAGCGUCGGUAAGGUGAUAUGAACCGUUAUAACCGGCGAUUUCCGAAUGGGGAAACCCAGUGUGUUUCGACACACUAUCAUUAACUGAAUCCAUAGGUUAAUGAGGCGAACCGGGGGAACUGAAACAUCUAAGUACCCCGAGGAAAAGAAAUCAACCGAGAUUCCCCCAGUAGCGGCGAGCGAACGGGGAGCAGCCCAGAGCCUGAAUCAGUAUGUGUGUUAGUGGAAGCGUCUGGAAAGGCGCGCGAUACAGGGUGACAGCCCCGUACACAAAAAUGCACAUGCUGUGAGCUCGAUGAGUAGGGCGGGACACGUGGUAUCCUGUCUGAAUAUGGGGGGACCAUCCUCCAAGGCUAAAUACUCCUGACUGACCGAUAGUGAACCAGUACCGUGAGGGAAAGGCGAAAAGAACCCCGGCGAGGGGAGUGAAAAAGAACCUGAAACCGUGUACGUACAAGCAGUGGGAGCACGCUUAGGCGUGUGACUGCGUACCUUUUGUAUAAUGGGUCAGCGACUUAUAUUCUGUAGCAAGGUUAACCGAAUAGGGGAGCCGAAGGGAAACCGAGUCUUAACUGGGCGUUAAGUUGCAGGGUAUAGACCCGAAACCCGGUGAUCUAGCCAUGGGCAGGUUGAAGGUUGGGUAACACUAACUGGAGGACCGAACCGACUAAUGUUGAAAAAUUAGCGGAUGACUUGUGGCUGGGGGUGAAAGGCCAAUCAAACCGGGAGAUAGCUGGUUCUCCCCGAAAGCUAUUUAGGUAGCGCCUCGUGAAUUCAUCUCCGGGGGUAGAGCACUGUUUCGGCAAGGGGGUCAUCCCGACUUACCAACCCGAUGCAAACUGCGAAUACCGGAGAAUGUUAUCACGGGAGACACACGGCGGGUGCUAACGUCCGUCGUGAAGAGGGAAACAACCCAGACCGCCAGCUAAGGUCCCAAAGUCAUGGUUAAGUGGGAAACGAUGUGGGAAGGCCCAGACAGCCAGGAUGUUGGCUUAGAAGCAGCCAUCAUUUAAAGAAAGCGUAAUAGCUCACUGGUCGAGUCGGCCUGCGCGGAAGAUGUAACGGGGCUAAACCAUGCACCGAAGCUGCGGCAGCGACGCUGAUGCGUUGUUGGGUAGGGGAGCGUUCUGUAAGCCUGCGAAGGUGUGCUGUGAGGCAUGCUGGAGGUAUCAGAAGUGCGAAUGCUGACAUAAGUAACGAUAAAGCGGGUGAAAAGCCCGCUCGCCGGAAGACCAAGGGUUCCUGUCCAACGUUAAUCGGGGCAGGGUGAGUCGACCCCUA